AUUGAACGCUGGCGGCAGGCCUAACACAUGCAAGUCGAACGGUAACAGGAAGCAGCUUGCUGCUUCGCUGACGAGUGGCGGACGGGUGAGUAAUGUCUGGGAAGCUGCCUGAUGGAGGGGGAUAACUACUGGAAACGGUAGCUAAUACCGCAUAAUGUCGCAAGACCAAAGAGGGGGACCUUCGGGCCUCUUGCCCUCGGAUGUGCCCAGAUGGGAUUAGCUUGUUGGUGGGGUAACGGCUCACCAAGGCGACGAUCCCUAGCUGGUCUGAGAGGAUGACCAGCCACACUGGAACUGAGACACGGUCCAGACUCCUAAGGGAGGCAGCAGUGGGGAAUAUUGCACAAUGGGCGCAAGCCUGAUGCAGCCAUGCCGCGUGUAUGAAGAAGGCCUUCGGGUUGUAAAGUACUUUCAGCGGGGAGGAAGGGAGUAAAGUUAAUACCUUUGCUCAUUGACGUUACCCGCAGAAGAAGCACCGGCUAACUCCGUG
Molecule: ribosomal RNA, 490 nt
Filed under: uncultured bacterium
Lineage: Bacteria
Description: partial 16S ribosomal RNA
Rfam family: Bacterial small subunit ribosomal RNA
Source: RNAcentral